AACGAACGUUGGCGGCGUGGAUUAGGCAUGCAAGUCGCACGAAUCCCAUUUGGGUAACUGAGUGGGGGAAGUGGCGAAAGGGGCAGUAAGGCAUGGGUAACUUGCCCUGGAGUCCGGAAUAGCCAUCCUAACGGAUGGGUAAUACCGGAUGUCGUACCUGGAGGGCCUCCUUCGGGUACGAAAGUUCAGGCGCUCCGGGAGGGGCCCAUGUAGUAUUAGCUAGUUGGUGAGGUAACGGCUCACCAAGGCCAAGAUGCUUAGCAGGUGUGAGAGCACGACCUGCGCCACUGGCACUGGGACACUGGCCAGACUCCUACGGGAGGCUGCAGUCGAGGAUCUUCGGCAAUGGGCGCAAGCCUGACCGAGCGACGCCGCGUGUGCGAUGAAGGCCUUCGGGUUGUAAAGCACUGUCGGGGGGGAGAAAAGCCGCAAGGCUUGAUCGACCCCCGGAGGAAGCACGGGCUAAGUUCGUG
This 473-nucleotide ribosomal RNA is filed under the name uncultured organism. RNAcentral's name for it is "bacterial SSU rRNA". It matches the Rfam family "Bacterial small subunit ribosomal RNA", at positions 28 to 507 of the family's 1533-position model. The record is from RNAcentral.